Molecule: RNA transcript, 3205 nt
Organism: Crotalus tigris (Tiger rattlesnake)
Lineage: Eukaryota; Metazoa; Chordata; Lepidosauria; Squamata; Viperidae
Gene: CDK15
Gene name: cyclin dependent kinase 15
Exons: 14
Source: RefSeq, a predicted model, not a curated record
CUUUGCUGGGCCGAAGGGGCGGAGCUGACCUGGCGAAAAAAGGUGGGAAAGAUGCAGGAACAGAAGAUGAGGACGGGAUCUUGAAUGGGACAAACUAAUGCAGAUGCAAAACAUGAGAGACAGAAAAUCAAGCCGUUUGAGGGCCGAAGAAAAUGGGCGACAUUUUAUGUGGAAAUUUUCCUACUCCCAGAUGCCUAUGCUGCCAUUAUGAAGAGAAAGAUUCAUCACAGCAAGACAACAUGCAACCAUUACUGAAACCAAGAAGAAGUCUUCCGUUUGGGAAUGUCUCAUCCUACUUGCAUCUUGAGACACUGAGUGAAGGUCCUCACUCUGUGGUGUGCAAAGGAAUCAGCAGUAGAAUAUACAAUCAGCUGGUAGCUUUGAAAGUCAUCAGCCUAAACACUGAGGAGGGAAUCCCUUUUACAGCCAUAAGAGAAGUUUCCCUCCUCAAGAGCCUGAAGCAUGCCAAUAUUGUGCUCCUUCAUGACAUCUUCCAGACCAAAGAGAGCCUGACUUUAGUCUUGGAGUACAUGCAUACGGACUUGGCACAGUACUUAUCUCAGCACCCUGGGGGCCUUCAUCCUCAUAAUGUUAUGCUUUUCAUGUUCCAGCUUCUGAGAGGGUUGGCUCACAUCCAUAAGUGCCAUAUCCUUCAUCGAGAUCUGAAACCUCAGAAUUUGCUCCUGAAUUGCUAUGGAGAGCUUAAAUUAGCUGAUUUUGGUCUUGCUCGUGCUAAAUCUGUCCCCAACCAAACAUACUCUGCUGAGGUGGUGACUCUUGGCUAUCGUCCUCCUGAUGUUCUGCUUGGAGCCACUGAUUAUUCAUCAGAUGUGGAUAUUUGGAGUGCAGGCUGCAUAUUUGUGGAGAUGCUUCAUGGUCAACCACUGUUUCCAGAUGUUAGCAAUAUCUUUGACCAAUUAGAGAAAAUCUGGAUAGUAUUGGGGAUCCCAUCUGAAGAAACAUGGCCAGGAGUUUCCAAGCUUUGCCACUAUAAGCCAGACAGAUUCCUUGGCAAUAGGCCUCAGGGGCUCCAGAUUAUCUGUGACAGUCACUGCAGUUGCUUCACUUCCCUUUGGGCUGAGCUAAUAUUAAAGUAUCUGAGUGUCACAUAUAUUCUUCAAUUGCAAUCUGGUCAAGGUGCCUGAGGCUGAAGAUUUGGCAGAAAGAAUGCUAAAAGUAUAUCCACAAAAUAGGAUUUCUGCACAACAGGCACUUUUUCAUCAGUUCUUCAAUCCACUGCCCUUUCAACAGAGCCAGCUUUCUAAUGCACAGUCCAUCUUCUCAGUACCCGGAGUGAUGCUCAAACAAGAAAUGUGUGACCUCUUUUUUUCAUCUCAGAAGGGCCAUCAGGAAUAUAGUUCAAGCAACUUUUGGUGAAAGAAAUGAAGGAUUUUUUUUUUCAAGAGAGAAAGGAGGCAAAGAAAUAAAACCAUAUUGUUUAUUAUCAUUAGCUAAGACAAAUGGGGAUAAACUAUGUACCAAUAUUACAAAUCCUGGAUUUCAAUAUAUAAGCCCAGCGAUUGGAUUACUGAUGGGUGGCAGAGGAAGAGAUGUGGAUAUAGUACAAAAACAGAACUUUUCUUUCUGCAGUUCCAGGACACAACUCUUAAUAAUACCAAACUUUCCAAACAUGGGGAGUGGAACAUAAUGUACUACAGCAUCUGUUUUAUUUGUACCAGUUGAAUGCUAAUUGUCCAGAAAUACUAUCCUAUACUGACCUUCUGCCAUUGUUAAUGGAAUUAUUCCUUUACAGGUUCCACAUUAAUGAAAACUUUUAAAAUGGACAUUGUGGAUAGCUGAUUUAACAUUUAGCUGAAUUCUUUGCUUCUGAACAUUCUGAACAUUCAUGAAUCUUCUGUCUACAGUUUAGUCCCAUACCGCCCCAUAGCAUCAAUAGCAGAAUAUUCAAUUGUAACCUAACCUUGUGCAGGUGCUGUUUUAUCUUUAUAUAUUUCCAAGACUUUAUAUUAUAUUUCCAAGACUAUACUCACCAGUUCCUGGAAAGCAAGGAGGGAGUUGCUGGGGUGAUUUGAUUCAGUAGUAUUUGAAGGCUGAAGGUUAUUGUUAUAUCUAAGGUUCAAAUGAUGUUAGCCAAUUUUACAGGAAAUCCAUUGUUUAUGGAAGCCAUGGAACUAAAUCUCUUGACUCUCAGAUUUGCUUGGUAUCUUUGCUUGGUGGCACGUGUGCCAGAGGCGGCACUCAGAGCCCUCUCUGUUUGCACACGCACCAUUGUCACCAGCAGCAGGUGCAUCAGGCCACCACUGCUGCCCGGAGCAGGAGCUUCGCCCAGCACAAAGGAGGUAAAGUGGCCGACCAGCAAGCUUGAGUAGAGGUGGUAGAGCAGAGGUCACCAACCAUUGGGAGGUGGAAGCAUUUUGCAUGCAUGCACGCACGGGGCCGUGAGCACACACGUGCUGAAAAUGGGGCAGGGCUAGUGCCUGCGUGAUACUAGCCCUGCCCCGUUCUUGCAUGGUGCAGCGCCUUGUAUCUGCACCCCACGGCACGACUGUUUUUGCACCUUGCAGCAUGGUGGCCCAUUUUUGCGCCCCCAGUUUUUGUGUGCCAGAGGUGGCGCUCAGAGGCACCUUCCUGCCCCUCCAUGAGGGCACCACAAUGCUGAUGUGGCCCAGGCACUUUGUGAUAAAUAAGUGGGUUUGGAGUUGCGGUUUGGGCACUCGGUCUCUAAAAGGUUCGCCAUCACUGGUGUAUGGUGUUUUUAAAAAAAGUCUGAGACAUAAACUUUUCUCAUUUUUGUGGGCCAAAAAGAAAAUAUUGUAUUAAUUCACACUUAUUGCAGCAACAUAUUUAACCCUUUCAGACCCAAUUUGGAGAGUUCAAACAUUUUCUAUUUGUCCAGUGUUAAGUUUGAUUCACCACAUUUUCACAUUAAUAUAAGUUUUAAACAAAGUCAUACAAAAGUCAUACAUAUUUCUCUUUAAUAUAACUACAUAACCAUACUGUUUACAAUUCUGUCAUACAUACAUUUUUGCAAUACGUUUUUCACAGUAUGUAAUUUUAGGCGUUAUUUCACUAGUAUAAACAUUUGUUUACACCCUUCCCUAAUACAAAUGCUUCUGCAUGUUAAUGUUUAAUUGGAGAAGUGGAAGAUUUUUAAAAAAUGCUUAUGUCAAACAAUACUUGAGUUUUUGUUGUCACUUGGUCUGAAAGUGUAAAAUUUAAGUAAUAUUAAAUGCAAGUUGAACUA